AUUGAACGCUGGCGGCAUGCCUAACACAUGCAAGUCGAACGGCAGCAUGGUCUAGCUUGCUAGACUGAUGGCGAGUGGCGAACGGGUGAGUAACGCGUAGGAACAUACCUUAAAGAGUGGGACAACCUGGGGAAACUCAGGCUAAUACCGCAUAAUCUCUGAGGAGAAAAGCUGGGGAUCUUCGGACCUGGCGCUUUAAGAUUGGCCUGCGUACGAUUAGCUAGUUGGUAGGGUAAAGGCCUACCAAGGCGACGAUCGUUAGCUGGUCUGAGAGGAUGGUCAGCCACACUGGGACUGAGACACAGCCCAG
Molecule: ribosomal RNA, 310 nt
Filed under: uncultured bacterium
Lineage: Bacteria
Description: bacterial SSU rRNA
Rfam family: Bacterial small subunit ribosomal RNA
Source: RNAcentral